Phrynosoma platyrhinos (Desert horned lizard) is the source of this 72-nucleotide non-coding RNA. Lineage: Eukaryota; Metazoa; Chordata; Lepidosauria; Squamata; Phrynosomatidae. The record is from the annotation of a GenBank genome assembly.
GGUGUAGUGGUGUAGUGGUUAAAGCAUUGGACUAUGACUCUGGAAACCAGGGUUCGAAUCUCAGCACAGCCA